This 268-nucleotide unclassified non-coding RNA is filed under the name Hevea brasiliensis (rubber tree). Lineage: Eukaryota; Viridiplantae; Streptophyta; Magnoliopsida; Malpighiales; Euphorbiaceae. The record is from RNAcentral.
CACGAAAUCUGCUAGUGUCACGCCAAGCCAUGGCGAGUGAUUAAUGGAAGGCAAAGCGCCUCCGGCAUCAUCAACUAAAAUCAUGAGCGCNCUGUGAGUCCGCGGAAGACGUCAAGAGAUAUAAGCCGUUGAUUAGGCGGCGGCGGUGGUGGCGUCUCCUCUACGUCGUUGGAUGAUGAGGAAGGUGUGGUCUCUUGUUCUUGUCCNGUACUAUGGAGGAGAAGGGGUUGCCGUUGUUCAUCUUCUGUCACUGUGAUCAGCGUUGCCA